AUGGCUGCUCCCUCGCCAGCUCUCCUCAUCUACAUCCUGGUGGUCCUCGUCGCCACCGCCGCCACAGCCCAAUGCCGCCCUCAGAAGCACCACGGCCAGGCCUCCAAGACCGCCUUUGCCCCGCUGGCCACCGUCCACGCCAUCUGCAGCAACACCCCCCACCCGGCGUCCUGCCUUGCGUCGGCCGCCGUGCACCUCGACGCCGCCACGGCCCAUCUCUUGGCGUCGUCCAUCACCGUCCCCCUCCUCCCGGCGAAUAUCCUGUCGGUCGCGCUCGCCUCCCUCCGCGGCGCUCUCUCGGCCGUCUCCUCCCUCUCCCCGUUCCUCUCAUCUACGCUCUCGGCCCCGUCGUCCUCGACGACGCCACUCCGGCGCGGCGCCGCGCAGGACUGCCUGGAGCUCCACGACGCCACGCUGAGCUCCCUCUCGCGCUCCGCGUCGCUGCUCGCGUCCCCCGGCGAGGGUCUCCCCUCGGUGCGCGCCCACCUCUCUGCCGCGCUCACCAACAAGGCCACCUGCCUCGACGGCCUCGCGGGCUCCUCCGGCCCGCGGAUGGACGGCCUCCUCGCCUCCCUCGACGACGCCUACGAGCACGUCUCCAACUCCCUCUCCCUCGUCGCCCGCAGCGGCGGUGGAGGGUCCGCGGCAAGCUUCCAAGCCACGGUGGCCAAGAUCAUCCAUCACAACCGGCGCCUGCUCCAAGACGACGAAGACAGCGACGGGGACGACGACGACAACAGCCGCAAUGGCAACGGCGACGACGACGACAACAACAGCCGCGACGGCAACGGCGAUGCGAACGACAGCGGCGAGACGGUGAUCACGGUGGCCAAGGACGGGUCGGGGAACUUCCGGACGGUGGGGGAGGCCGUCGCCGCGGCGCCGAACAACAGCGACGCGAGGACGGUGAUCCAUGUGAAGGCCGGGACGUACGUGGAGAACGUGGAGGUGCCCCCCUACAAGACGAACAUCGCGCUGGUCGGCGAGGGCCGCGACGUGACGGUCAUCACCGGCAGCCGCAGCGCCGCCGACGGCUGGACCACCUUCCGCACCGCCACCGUCGGGGUGUCCGGCGAGGGGUUCCUGGCGCGGGACAUCGCGUUCCGCAACACGGCGGGCGCGGCGAGGGGGCAGGCGGUGGCGCUGCGGGUGAACGCGGACAUGGCGGCGGCGUACCGCUGCGCCGUCGACGGCCACCAGGACGCGCUCUACGCGCACUCCUUCCGCCAGUUCUACCGCGAGUGCGCCCUCUCCGGCACGGUGGACCUCGCCUUCGGCAACGCGGCCGCGGUGCUCCAGGCCUGCGCGCUCGUCGCCGGCGCGCCGGUCCCGGGCCAGUCCAACGUGCUCACGGCGCAGUCCAGGGGGGACCCGAACCAGGACACGGGCUUCGCCGUGCACAACUGCACCGUGGAGGCCUCGCCGGAGCUGCUGGCCAGCGGCGUCGGCACCCGCACCUUCCUCGGCCGGCCGUGGGGCGCGUACGCGCGGGCCGUGGUCAUCGAGUCCUACCUGGGCCCUCUCGUGGACCGCGACGGGUGGACGGGCUGGCCCGGCGCGGAGCCGGGCCGCGCCGACACGGUGUACUUCGGGGAGUACGGGAACGAGGGGCCGGGCGCCGGCACGGACGGGCGCGUGGGCUGGGCCGGGUUCCACGAGAUGGACUACGACGAGGCCGCCCAGUUCGCCGUCGACAAGUUCAUCUACGGCGACGACUGGCUCGCCACCACCUCCUUCCCCUACGACCAAGGCAUCUGA
This 1758-nucleotide ribosomal RNA is filed under the name Triticum aestivum (bread wheat). RNAcentral describes it as "partial small subunit ribosomal RNA". The record is from RNAcentral. Lineage: Eukaryota; Viridiplantae; Streptophyta; Magnoliopsida; Poales; Poaceae.